CUAAGUUUGAUGGCGACCGGCGCACGGGUGAGUAACACGUAUCCAACCUGCCGAUGACUCGGGGAUAGCCUUUCGAGAGAAAGAUUAAUACCCGAUGGCAUAGUUCUUCCGCAUGGUAGAACUAUUAAAGAAUUUCGGUCAUCGAUGGGGAUGCGUUCCAUUAGGUUGUUGGCGGGGUAACGGCCCACCAAGCCUUCGAUGGAUAGGGGUUCUGAGAGGAAGGUCCCCCACAUUGGAACUGAGACACGGUCCAAACUCCUACGGGAGGCAGCAUG
RNAcentral lists this ribosomal RNA (275 nucleotides) under uncultured bacterium. RNAcentral describes it as "partial 16S ribosomal RNA". It matches the Rfam family "Bacterial small subunit ribosomal RNA", at positions 79 to 353 of the family's 1533-position model. The record is from RNAcentral.